CCUACGGGAGGCAGCAGUAGGGAAUUUUCGUCAAUGGGCGCAAGCCUGAACGAGCAAUGCCGCGUGAACGAGGAAGGUCUUCGGAUCGUAAAGUUCUGUUGAAGGGGAAAAAGAGCGGAGAGAGGAAAUGGUCUCCGAUUGAUAUUACCCUUCGAGGAAGUCACGGCUAACUACGUGCCAGCAGCCGCGGUAAUACGUAGGUGGCGAGCGUUAUCCGGAAUUAUUGGGCGUAAAGGGUGCGCAGGCGGCAAGAAAAGCUUAAGGUGAAUGCGUGGGGCUCAACCCCAUAAAGCCUUAGGAACUAG
Molecule: ribosomal RNA, 305 nt
Filed under: uncultured bacterium
Lineage: Bacteria
Description: bacterial SSU rRNA
Rfam family: Bacterial small subunit ribosomal RNA
Source: RNAcentral